Non-coding RNA from Rhodofomes roseus, 81 nucleotides. The record is from the annotation of a RefSeq genome assembly. NCBI's taxonomy places the organism in Eukaryota, Fungi, Basidiomycota, Agaricomycetes, Polyporales, Fomitopsidaceae.
GGCCGACUAGCUCAGUUGGUUAGAGCGUGGUGCUAAUAAAAUGUUACGCCAAGGUCGUCGGUUCGACCCCGGCGUUGGCCA